Molecule: ribosomal RNA, 253 nt
Filed under: uncultured bacterium
Lineage: Bacteria
Description: partial 16S ribosomal RNA
Rfam family: Bacterial small subunit ribosomal RNA
Source: RNAcentral
UACGUAGGGCGCAAGCGUUGUCCGGAAUUAUUGGGCGUAAAGAGCUCGUAGGCGGCUUGUCGCGUCGUCCGUGAAAACUCACAGCUCAACUGUGAGCUUGCGGUCGAUACGGGCAGGCUUGAGUUCGGUAGGGGAGACUGGAAUUCCUGGUGUAGCGGUGAAAUGCGCAGAUAUCAGGAGGAACACCGGUGGCGAAGGCGGGUCUCUGGGCCGAUACUGACGCUGAGGAGCGAAAGCGUGGGGAGCGAACAGG